This 482-nucleotide ribosomal RNA is filed under the name Salmonella enterica. Its description in RNAcentral is "bacterial SSU rRNA". It matches the Rfam family "Bacterial small subunit ribosomal RNA", at positions 1040 to 1522 of the family's 1533-position model. The record is from RNAcentral. Lineage: Bacteria; Pseudomonadati; Pseudomonadota; Gammaproteobacteria; Enterobacterales; Enterobacteriaceae. RNAcentral also lists the same sequence under 1 other name.
GCUGCAUGGCUGUCGUCAGCUCGUGUUGUGAAAUGUUGGGUUAAGUCCCGCAACGAGCGCAACCCUUAUCCUUUGUUGCCAGCGGUUAGGCCGGGAACUCAAAGGAGACUGCCAGUGAUAAACUGGAGGAAGGUGGGGAUGACGUCAAGUCAUCAUGGCCCUUACGACCAGGGCUACACACGUGCUACAAUGGCGCAUACAAAGAGAAGCGACCUCGCGAGAGCAAGCGGACCUCAUAAAGUGCGUCGUAGUCCGGAUUGGAGUCUGCAACUCGACUCCAUGAAGUCGGAAUCGCUAGUAAUCGUGGAUCAGAAUGCCACGGUGAAUACGUUCCCGGGCCUUGUACACACCGCCCGUCACACCAUGGGAGUGGGUUGCAAAAGAAGUAGGUAGCUUAACCUUCGGGAGGGCGCUUACCACUUUGUGAUUCAUGACUGGGGUGAAGUCGUAACAAGGUAACCGUAGGGGAACCUGCGGUUGGA